RNAcentral lists this ribosomal RNA (435 nucleotides) under uncultured bacterium. Its description in RNAcentral is "partial 16S ribosomal RNA". It matches the Rfam family "Bacterial small subunit ribosomal RNA", at positions 29 to 507 of the family's 1533-position model. The record is from RNAcentral.
AGCGAACGCUGGCGGCAGGCUUAACACAUGCAAGUCGAGCGGGCGUAGCAAUACGUCAGCGGCAGACGGGUGAGUAACGCGUGGGAACGUACCUUUUGGUUCGGAACAACACAGGGAAACUUGUGCUAAUACCGGAUAAGCCCUUACGGGGAAAGAUUUAUCGCCGAAAGAUCGGCCCGCGUCUGAUUAGCUAGUUGGUGAGGUAACGGCUCACCAAGGCGACGAUCAGUAGCUGGUCUGAGAGGAUGAUCAGCCACAUUGGGACUGAGACACGGCCCAAACUCCUACGGGAGGCAGCAGUGGGGAAUAUUGGACAAUGGGGGCAACACUGAUCCAGCCAUGCCGCGUGAGUGAUGAAGGCCCUAGGGUUGUAAAGCUCUUUUGUGCGGGAAGAUAAUGACGGUACCGCAAGAAUAAGCCCCGGCUAACUUCGUG